This 92-nucleotide ribosomal RNA is filed under the name Eubacteriales bacterium. Its description in RNAcentral is "partial 23S ribosomal RNA". It matches the Rfam family "Bacterial large subunit ribosomal RNA", at positions 2833 to 2925 of the family's 2925-position model. Lineage: Bacteria; Bacillati; Bacillota; Clostridia; Eubacteriales. The record is from RNAcentral.
ACCCCUUAAAGACCAUGAGGUUGAUAGGUGAGAGGUGGAAGCGUGGUAACACGUGCAGCUGACUCAUACUAAUCGGUCGAAGUCUUGACCAA